GGAUGUGAGGGUGAUCUGGCUGCAGCAUCUGUCACUCCAUUGAUUGCCAGGGUUGACUCCACUGUUCUGGUUGGCUAGGGAGGGUUGUCCUUUUCCUUCCUCACUGCUCCGUGUGUGUCUUUCUGGAAGCUGUACCACUGGGUUAAAGAGGAUGAUACUGGAUAGAGGAAGAGCAUUUCCUAGGUCAAGGGUACAUGAGUACCUGUGCUUCCCUGCUAGCGCCUCCAAACAAACACUCAACCUCCAUAAUUAUAGCAGCAUAGUUCAUAAUAGCUAAAUCUUAGAAGCAGGCUGCUUGCCCAU
Non-coding RNA from Fukomys damarensis (Damara mole-rat), 303 nucleotides. NCBI's taxonomy places the organism in Eukaryota, Metazoa, Chordata, Mammalia, Rodentia, Bathyergidae. The record is from Rfam.